CUUGUANUUGGAUUCGUUCUUUUUUGCUCAGCAGAGGUGGGAGGCUACUAUAAUAAACUUGUGGGUUUAUUGGAGCUAUCAGUGAGAUACCACUCUAAUAAAGCUCUAAUUCUAACCUUGUAAGCCGUUAUCCGGCCAAGGAACAGUUUCAGGUGGGCAGUUUGACUGGGGCGGUCGCCUCCUAAAAAGUAACGGAGGCGUGCAAAGGUUCCUUCAGGCUGGUUGGAAAUCAGUCGUAGAGUGUAAAGAUAUAAGGGAGCUUGACUGUAAGACUUACAAGUCGAACAGAGACGAAAGUCGGCCUUAGUGAUCCGACAGUUCCGAGUGGAAGGGCUGUCGCUCAACGGAUAAAAGUUA
Molecule: ribosomal RNA, 357 nt
Filed under: Kumanoa cipoensis
Lineage: Eukaryota; Rhodophyta; Florideophyceae; Batrachospermales; Batrachospermaceae
Description: bacterial LSU rRNA
Rfam family: Bacterial large subunit ribosomal RNA
Source: RNAcentral